This 254-nucleotide ribosomal RNA is filed under the name uncultured bacterium. RNAcentral's name for it is "partial 16S ribosomal RNA". It matches the Rfam family "Bacterial small subunit ribosomal RNA", at positions 524 to 776 of the family's 1533-position model. The record is from RNAcentral.
UACGGGGGGGGCAAGCGUUGUUCGGAAUUACUGGGCGUAAAGGGCUCGUAGGCGGCCAACUAAGUCAGACGUGAAAUCCCUCGGCUUAACCGGGGAACUGCGUCUGAUACUGGAUGGCUUGAGUUUGGGAGAGGGAUGCGGAAUUCCAGGUGUAGCGGUGAAAUGCGUAGAUAUCUGGAGGAACACCGGUGGCGAAGGCGGUAUCCUGGACCAACACUGACGCUGAGGGAGCGAAAGCCAGGGGAGCAAACGGG